Molecule: ribosomal RNA, 425 nt
Filed under: uncultured bacterium
Lineage: Bacteria
Description: partial 16S ribosomal RNA
Rfam family: Bacterial small subunit ribosomal RNA
Source: RNAcentral
GUGGGGAAUCUUGCGCAAUGGGCGAAAGCCUGACGCAGCCAUGCCGCGUGAAUGAUGAAGGUCUUAGGAUUGUAAAAUUCUUUCACCGGGGACGAUAAUGACGGUACCCGGAGAAGAAGCUCCGGCUAACUUCGUGCCAGCAGCCGCGGUAAUACGAAGGGGGCUAGCGUUGCUCGGAAUUACUGGGCGUAAAGGGCGCGUAGGCGGACAGCUUAGUCAGAGGUGAAAGCCCAGGGCUCAACCUUGGAAUUGCCUUUGAUACUGGCUGUCUUGAGUUUGGGAGAGGUGAGUGGAACUCCGAGUGUAGAGGUGAAAUUCGUAGAUAUUCGGAAGAACACCAGUGGCGAAGGCGACUCACUGGCCCAAUACUGACGCUGAGGCACGAAAGCGUGGGGAGCAAACAGGAUUAGAAACCCCUGUAGUCC